Molecule: non-coding RNA, 20 nt
Filed under: Rattus norvegicus (Norway rat)
Lineage: Eukaryota; Metazoa; Chordata; Mammalia; Rodentia; Muridae
Source: RNAcentral
CAUCUGUAGCUACGGCUGAG